UACGUAGGUGGCAAGCGUUAUCCGGAAUUAUUGGGCGUAAAGAGCGCGCAGGUGGUUGAUUAAGUCUGAUGUGAAAGCCCACGGCUUAACCGUGGAGGGUCAUUGGAAACUGGUCGACUUGAGUGCAGAAGAGGGAAGUGGAAUUCCAUGUGUAGCGGUGAAAUGCGCAGAUAUCAGGAGGAACACCAGCGGCGAAGGCGGCGCUCUGGGCUGAGAUUGACGCUGAGGAGCGAAAGUGUGGGUAGCAAACAGGAUUA
This 257-nucleotide ribosomal RNA is filed under the name uncultured prokaryote. RNAcentral's name for it is "partial 16S ribosomal RNA". It matches the Rfam family "Bacterial small subunit ribosomal RNA", at positions 524 to 780 of the family's 1533-position model. The record is from RNAcentral.